AGGACAGAAUAACGGGCUCCCAGAUUCACAAGCCCCACCAAGAGGAUCACCCCAGGAACGCUUGGAGGCUGAGGAGUUCACUGAGGCUACUGCAUCUUGAGACUCAGGAUGAAGACCCAGCUUGGGGCUGUCAAAGAGGCCUGAAGAGGCAGAACACCCCAGAGGAGCCUGGGGCCACCACCCAGCGUCACUGUGGGAAAACGGCAGCGGGAAAUGUCCUCUCGCCUGCGUGCUCCACCUCAGUCCAUGCCUUCCCUCCUUCUGGAAGCCUUGCCUGACCACUGGCCUGCCCCUUCUAUGGGAAUCACUACUGACCUUGCAGCUUAUUAUAGACUUAUAUGUAUGCAGAAAUAUAAUUUUAAUUACUUUUAUAUUGCUCUGAGAGUGAUGCCAAAUCAUGAUAGAAAAUUUAAAUAAACAAAAUAGCCAAAUUAAUACCAGUAAUCACCCCAGUCAAAUAUACCCAGCUCACAUUUUGAUGUAAAAUCUUCCAGUACAGUUUCUAUGUACAUAUAUAUAUUUUUAGGAAGGAGAUUAUAUUCUACAUGCUGUUUUCUAAAACGUCCUUUUAAAACUGUAUCAUAAACAUCUUUCCUUAUAAUUCAAUAGUCUUCUACAACAAACUUUGCUAACGAAUUUUUUUUUUUAUCAUGG
RNAcentral lists this long non-coding RNA (654 nucleotides) under Pan troglodytes (chimpanzee). RNAcentral's name for it is "lincRNA". The stretch from base 1 to 136 matches the Rfam family "Pvt1 oncogene conserved region 7". Lineage: Eukaryota; Metazoa; Chordata; Mammalia; Primates; Hominidae. The record is from RNAcentral.